GACGAACGCUGGCGGCGUGCUUAACACAUGCAAGUCGAACGGAAAGGCCCUGCUUUUGUGGGGUGCUCGAGUGGCGAACGGGUGAGUAACACGUGAGUAACCUGCCCUUGACUUUGGGAUAACUUCAGGAAACUGGGGCUAAUACCGGAUAGGAGCUCCUGCUGCAUGGUGGGGGUUGGAAAGUUUCGGCGGUUGGGGAUGGACUCGCGGCUUAUCAGCUUGUUGGUGGGGUAGUGGCUUACCAAGGCUUUGACGGGUAGCCGGCCUGAGAGGGUGACCGGGGGAGGUGGGAGUAAGAUACGGCCGAGGGUGCAAGGGGGGGAAGGGGGGGGGGAUGGUGGGAAAUGGGCGGAAGGCUGAUGCAGCAUCGCGGCGGGCGGGAUGGCGGCGUUCGGGUGGUAACCGCAGACGCCUGUGACGACGCGUGAGUGACGGUAAGGGGUAAAGAAGCAACGGCUAACUACGUG
Molecule: ribosomal RNA, 467 nt
Filed under: uncultured bacterium
Lineage: Bacteria
Description: partial 16S ribosomal RNA
Rfam family: Bacterial small subunit ribosomal RNA
Source: RNAcentral